This 333-nucleotide long non-coding RNA is filed under the name Phoenix dactylifera (date palm). Its description in RNAcentral is "long non-coding RNA (PDAC_LNC003956)". The record is from RNAcentral. Lineage: Eukaryota; Viridiplantae; Streptophyta; Magnoliopsida; Arecales; Arecaceae.
CUCUUUCACCUCCUAACCAUAUAAUGAGAACAGGCUGCGACUUAAUUUUACUAUAAUAUUAGACAUCUCUUUCCAUCUAUUUUUCUUCUCCGACAUUCGAUGAGGUUGAGAUCCUCAAGUGCACAGAUAUGCUACCCUUCAUGUACUGUAUCCUUUUGAAAUGAGAUCUAUCCAAUUGACUAACACGUGUUCUCUAAAUUAUAACUAUUAAUUAGUUUCCAAGGUUUUAGCAGACAUGUGUCAAAGAUCAAAACCAACAAAAAAUAUCUGCAAUAGGAUAGAUAUAUUUGACCAUGCCACUUAUGUUGCAUGUAACCUUCUCCUCCCCCUAUC